This 109-nucleotide small RNA is filed under the name Sinorhizobium medicae WSM419. RNAcentral's name for it is "Alphaproteobacterial ar15". It matches the Rfam family "Alphaproteobacterial ar15". The record is from Rfam by way of RNAcentral. Lineage: Bacteria; Pseudomonadati; Pseudomonadota; Alphaproteobacteria; Hyphomicrobiales; Rhizobiaceae.
AGUUGAUGCACAUGGCGGUUUCCUCCCAGUUCCGCAGCAACAACUGUUCCCCUCUGGAGGUUCAUACCUUCAAAACUAAUGGGCCGCGGUUUUCCGACGGCCCUUUUUU